AGCUUGAAUGAAAAAUGAAAAGUUUCAACAUAUCUAUCUUUGUUCUAGUUCUACAUCUCUGUUCUUGUUCUCAAGCAAGUGAAACGAAUAUCAUAUGUGUUUCAAAGUUUGGUCUCGGGUUUACCUAGUGAUUUGAAAGUUUUGUCUAUUUUUGUUUAAAUGUUUUUAUGUUUCUAAAUAUGACUUGAAAUUGCUGUGAGGUGAAAGUUUUGUCUGUGUUUUAAGUUUUAUUUUCGUUGUUUGGUUGUGACUUGAAAGUUUGGUCUAUGUUUGUUUCUAAUAUGAGUAUAUGACUUGUUCUUGCUGUGAGUUUGGGUUCAGUCUAAAUAUUUUAUUUUCGUUGUUUGGUUAUCAGUUUUGGUUCAGUCUAACUUAUUUAUUUUUUUUAAUAUGAAAUCACUCUCAUCCGUACAUAACUUAUGUUUAUGUGUUUUAAGGUUUGGUCAUGACAAAUCAUCACUGACCCGAAAGAUUACAAAGAUCUUUACAAACAAGUUUGAUGGUCCUUUCUACAGUUGAACUUGCAGUUAAGUUUUCUCUUUUAAAGAAAAAGUUUUUUGUUGAAUUUGCAAAAACUCACACUUGGCAUCCGUCACAAACCGGUGUGGUUCAGGAAAAGUUCGAGGAGAUAUGUGAGCGGCGUAUGGAAGACAUGGUCAGCAUAUGUACGACGUAUCGAGUGCAACCAACCUAGCUGGAUUACUGAUUUUUGGAUGUAGAUAUACACAUUUUAAUGUCGUAUCUAAAUCUUUUCACAACUUUUUUCCAAUAGUUGCAAUAUUGAAAACACAUAUUUAAUUUGAAAGACAAACCUUUUCAUCUAGUAUAAGAAAAUUGAGACUAAGGAUUUCAUUGUUUCUUUUAGGAUAUUUGGCUAUCCAAACACGUAAAAAUCUUCGUACUAUUUUUUGUUGAUAACGGUUCAUUUGAAUAUUUUCUAAAAUUUGUAACCAAGUAACUGCAUGUAACUUUUUUUCACCA
This is a long non-coding RNA of Brassica oleracea var. oleracea, 981 nucleotides long. RefSeq lists it as uncharacterized. The transcript has 2 exons. Lineage: Eukaryota; Viridiplantae; Streptophyta; Magnoliopsida; Brassicales; Brassicaceae. The record is from RefSeq and is a predicted model, not a curated record.